CCUUUCUCCCUGCCCCAGACCAGGGCUGUGCCCUGCAGCUCCUGCCCAUGGUCCCUGAAAUGCCGGGGCUUUCAUUUCUGUGGGAGAGCAUCCAGGUGCUGGUCCCCACAGAGGAGCUUCCUCCCCACCAGCUCUGCCCAUCCCAGAGGGGACAGCCCUCCUCUGCUUAGCCCUGCACCCAGGGCACAGCCAAGGGCUGAGUGAAGGGGCUGUCUUAGGGCAGGUCUGGGAGCCUCUCUGAAAAAUGCCUCAUGCCAAGGGAACUGGUCUCCUCCCAACGGUGCCCAUCCACAGCAGUGCUGACCACAAGUCAGGGCAGAAGGGCUCAUCCCAGAGCACCCAGCUCUCUGCAGGCUCCUCUUCAGAGGCGUCCCUGACCCAGCUGCAGCCCUACCCCAGGCACAGUGAGGAGGAGGAUGGUCUGGAGCCACCCCAGGGAUCAGAGCUGGGGUGGGGGGAGAAAGAGCUCCAUGUCUCCUGCCUGCAGACCGACAGACAGCGGUGCCACUNNNNNNNNNNNNNNNNNNNNGGGGGCACAUCUGCAGGGCCCUUUCUCCCUGCCCCAGACCAGGGUUGUCCCCUGAAGCUCCUGCUCAUGGUUCCUGAAAUGGUUGGGCCGUGAGGUCUGUGGGAGAGCAUCCAGGUGCUGGUCCCCACAGAGGAGCUUCCUCCCCACCAGCUCUGCCCAUCCCAGAGGGGACAGCCCCUCUCUGCCUGGCCCUGCACCCUGGGGACAUCCAAGGGCUGAGUGAAGGGGCUGUCUUAGGGCAGGUCUGGGAGCCUCUCUGAAAAAUGCCUCGUGCCAAGGGAACUGGUCUCCUCCCCACGGUGCCCAUCCACAGCAGUGCUGACCACAAGUCAGGGCAGCAGGGCUCAUCCCAGAGCACCGCUGCAGGUCUCUGCAGGCUCCUCUUCAGAGGCGUCCCUGACCUGGCUGCAGCCCUACCCCAGGCACAGUGAGGAGGAGGAUGGUCUGGAGCCACCCCAGGGAUCAGAGCUGGGAUGGGGGGAGAAAGAGCUCCAUCUCUCCUGCCUGCAGACCGACAGACAGCGGUGCCACUGAGUGCCAUCAUCAGAGCUGGAAGGACGAGGGCUCUGCUUUGGCCCUGACACCAGCAGCAUGUCAGCCCUGUGACCCCGCACACCCUCCCAUCCUCUGCUCUGCACGACAUCCCUUCUCACUGCCACCACCUACUCUCGUUUCAGAUGUCCCUGUCCUGCCCGGAGGUGACCCAGCAGAUGGCUACGAUGAUGCUGGGGAGGUGUCUGACCCUGGGGAGGAUCCUGUCCCUGGGCAGGGGGACUGGGAAGUGCCCAGGAUACCAGAGGAAGGAGAUGGGCCCAGGGAUGCAGCCACAGGGGGAAGCCUGCGCUCCCAGAGAAGUGCUGGGGACCCUGGAGCUGAGGGAGACACCUCGUCCCCCUUCCCGGGAAGCAUGGGCUAUGACGAUGCUGAAGAGGUGUCUCUGGCAUGUCCCCACGAGGACACCCAGGAUGUGUCACCAGAGCCCCAUGCACAAGGGUCCCAGAGCCCCAGGCCAGCAGAGCCCAGCCCUGCUGAGCAGCUGGGUGCAGCCAGGAGGGAGGAGAGCUCAGUGCCACUGGGAGAGCUGUGAGCACCAGGGAACGGUCUCCCUUUU
This 1640-nucleotide long non-coding RNA is filed under the name Anser cygnoides (Swan goose). Its description in RNAcentral is "lncRNA (ENSACDG00005006892.1)". Lineage: Eukaryota; Metazoa; Chordata; Aves; Anseriformes; Anatidae. The record is from RNAcentral.